GACGAACGCUGGCGGCGUGCUUAACACAUGCAAGUCGAACGGAAAGGCCCUGCUUUUGUGGGGUGCUCGAGUGGCGAACGGGUGAGUAACACGUGAGUAACCUGCCCUUGACUUUGGGAUAACUUCAGGAAACUGGGGCUAAUACCGGAUAGGAGCUCCUGCUGCAUGGUGGGGGUUGGAAAGUUUCGGCGGUUGGGGAUGGACUCGCGGCUUAUCAGCUUGUUGGUGGGGUAGUGGCUUACCAAGGCUUUGACGGGUAGCCGGCCUGAGAGGGUGACCGGCCACAUUGGGACUGAGAUACGGCCCAGACUCCUACGGGAGGCAGCAGUGGGGAAUAUUGCACAAUGGGCGGAAGCCGGAUGCAGCAACGCCGCGUGCGGGAUGACGGCCUUCGGGUUGUAAACCGCUGUCGCCUGUGACGAAGCGGGAGUGACGGUAAUGGGUAAAGAAGCACCGGCUAACUACGUG
RNAcentral lists this ribosomal RNA (468 nucleotides) under uncultured bacterium. Its description in RNAcentral is "partial 16S ribosomal RNA". It matches the Rfam family "Bacterial small subunit ribosomal RNA", at positions 28 to 507 of the family's 1533-position model. The record is from RNAcentral.